CCCUUAGAUGUUCUGGGCCGCACGCGUGCUACACUGAGUGGAUCAGCGGGUCAGGUUGCGCGAAAGCGUUUCCUAAUCUUUAAAUCCGCUCGUGAUGGGGAUUGACGGUUGCAAUUUUCUGUCAUGAACGAGGAAUACCUUGUAAGCGCGGGUCAUCAUCCCGCGCUGAAUACGUCCCUGCCCUUUGUACACACCGCCCGUCGCUCCUACCGAUUGAAUGGUCCGGUGAAAUCUUCGGAUUGCUGACCAAGAUCCAGCAAUGGAGCUUGGUUGCGAGAAGUUGAUUAAACCUUAUUAUUUAGAGGAAGGAGAAGUCGUAACA
Molecule: ribosomal RNA, 322 nt
Filed under: uncultured eukaryote
Lineage: Eukaryota
Description: partial 18S ribosomal RNA
Rfam family: Eukaryotic small subunit ribosomal RNA
Source: RNAcentral